RNAcentral lists this long non-coding RNA (1339 nucleotides) under Meleagris gallopavo (turkey). Its description in RNAcentral is "lncRNA (ENSMGAG00000019184.1)". The record is from RNAcentral. Lineage: Eukaryota; Metazoa; Chordata; Aves; Galliformes; Phasianidae.
CUACUCAUCAGCCUAUCAUUGGAUGAAAAUUCCCUCAUUUUCUUCCAAAUUCUCUGAUAUGUGGAGUACAUUCAUUUAUCUAGAGGGUGAUGGAGACUCCUUUUCAAAAAAUUGAGAUGCAGUGUGUGUUUUCUUUGCUCUUUGUAUGAAAUAGAGUGUGUGAGCAGAUCACAAGGCCAGACCUUCACUCAUUUUCAACCAGAGUGAUCAUACAUAGGAACACAGAGUUCAAAUUCAUUCUCUGUAACUCAUGAUAUUAAACUAUUUUGAACGGAACUGCAAAAGAAGGAGAUGCAAUUUGAUUUUUAUCCUAUCAAAUCUUUCACCAAAUGUUGGAUUAUCUGAACGAAGGGCGAUCCUUUGUUCCUUUGCAAAUGGAGCCAUUGAAAUGGUCGCUAAGUUUACCACGUUCUGCCCUCCAUCAUCUCCCACCCUGCAGGCUCAGCAGCAGCAGCUAGCUUGAAAACAAGAACUUACGAAUGAGAAAAGGGUGGAGGACUUCCUCCUAAGGCAAAGCUGUAUUUCUCCAAGAACCUCCUGAGUAUAAUAACAUUAACAAAUACGUGAGUUGAGAUAUUGUCACCUCUUUCAUGUGUCUGUCCAUACUUUUGUUAAUAAUUUUGCUUAAACUAUUGUCCUGGCUUCAAUUUCAAGUCAUUUUACUUUAAUUCACUGUACGCCUUUUAACCAGGCUCUGAGCACUUUGGAGUUAAUCUAGGGUGUUUUGAUCAGACAGUAAUUGCCAUAAAGCUUUCCCUAAACUUUUCAGACAUUGAACUGGUAUUUUUACAGUCAAUGUUGAAUCUCUGCUGGUUGUAAUCCACAGCAGUGCACCUGGAUGCAAUUGUGCUUGUAAAACUAAACUUGACUGAUGUGUUUCACUUAGUGAGGACUCCAUUUGUUUCAUUGUAAAAAUUAGAGAGUGAUUCAGCAUUCAUGAGAAAACGUGGCAACAAAAGGUUAGCUGAACAGUAGUAGGAGUGGAGCCAUAUUGGGAGCAAUUGAAGGAGGAAAUGGUCUGGAUUUAUUGUCUGCAUUAAAGAUAUUGUGGGUCCCAUGGAUACCAGGAGUGUCAUGGAGACACAGCUAAUAGGAUUUUUAUUGGAUUAUUGUCGGGCUGUUGCACCUGCUUAUAAUGAGGAUGAUGUAGUUGAAUUUCUGGCACAACCCUUGAACAAGGAAUCAGAAAGGAGCUGAGAGAGCUGGAAGCUCUAAUAUUAAUUUUGAAGGAAAAAUUUACAAUUGCCUGAAAGCCAUUUCGAGCAAGCCAGCAGAACUGGGUAGCCUUUCUGUCUCUUUACAUAUACUAAUGUGUAGAAAAUACAUAGGUCAUUUCAGA